Molecule: ribosomal RNA, 779 nt
Filed under: Staphylococcus pasteuri
Lineage: Bacteria; Bacillati; Bacillota; Bacilli; Caryophanales; Staphylococcaceae
Description: bacterial SSU rRNA
Rfam family: Bacterial small subunit ribosomal RNA
Source: RNAcentral
AGUCGAGCGAACAGAUAAGGAGCUUGCUCCUUUGACGUUAGCGGCGGMCSGGUGAGUAACACGUGGAUAACCUACCUAUAAGACUGGGAUAACUUCGGGAAACCGGAGCUAAUACCGGAUAACAUAUUGAACCGCAUGGUUCAAUAGUGAAAGGCGGCUUUGCUGUCACUUAUAGAUGGAUCCGCGCCGUAUUAGCUAGUUGGUAAGGUAACGGCUUACCAAGGCAACGAUACGUAGCCGACCUGAGAGGGUGAUCGGCCACACUGGAACUGAGACACGGUCCAGACUCCUACGGGAGGCAGCAGUAGGGAAUCUUCCGCAAUGGGCGAAAGCCUGACGGAGCAACGCCGCGUGAGUGAUGAAGGUCUUCGGAUCGUAAAACUCUGUUAUCAGGGAAGAACAAAUGUGUAAGUAACUGUGCACAUCUUGACGGUACCUGAUCAGAAAGCCACGGCUAACUACGUGCCAGCAGCCGCGGUAAUACGUAGGUGGCAAGCGUUAUCCGGAAUUAUUGGGCGUAAAGCGCGCGUAGGCGGUUUUUUAAGUCUGAUGUGAAAGCCCACGGCUCAACCGUGGAGGGUCAUUGGAAACUGGAAAACUUGAGUGCAGAAGAGGAAAGUGGAAUUCCAUGUGUAGCGGUGAAAUGCGCAGAGAUAUGGAGGAACACCAGUGGCGAAGGCGACUUUCUGGUCUGUAACUGACGCUGAUGUGCGAAAGCGUGGGGAUCAAACAGGAUUAGAUACCCUGGUAGUCCACGCCGUAAACGAUGAGUGCUAAGU